RNAcentral lists this microRNA (22 nucleotides) under Branchiostoma floridae (Florida lancelet). RNAcentral describes it as "bfl-miR-4856a". RNAcentral also lists the same sequence under 1 other name. The record is from miRBase by way of RNAcentral. Lineage: Eukaryota; Metazoa; Chordata; Leptocardii; Amphioxiformes; Branchiostomatidae.
ACGCAGUGACGUCAGCGCCUCU